RNAcentral lists this long non-coding RNA (759 nucleotides) under Marmota monax (woodchuck). The record is from RNAcentral. Lineage: Eukaryota; Metazoa; Chordata; Mammalia; Rodentia; Sciuridae.
GUUCCUCUGGGACAGAACCCUUAAAUUCAACUAUUGUUUAAACUCCCAGGCCCUGCAAAUUCUGUUUGAUUAGUGGCUCAGCAGCAACAUCGCUGCUGUCAAUCUCCAGGUAGACACAGUUUAUUUGGUUGGCAGGACAAAGCUGGUCUUCUUUGGGAAAUAUGGCAUGGUUCUAACAUUGAGCCAGUGAAGCACCACAAGAGAGGAACAUAUCAAUUUCAGACCUACAUAUAAAUUGCUUUCUUUACUGAACAGACCCAAGGUUAGAAAAGGAGGAGAUGUUAGUAAUAGCAAUGGUUUGUUUCAAAUCUGGAAACCCUCUGCUUUUUUCUUUUUUUACCCAUGAAGAAGCAGGUAGCAGAAUGAAUGAGAUGAAGUCCAGGAAAUAAAGCGAUUAAGAAUUCUGGAAAGAAGUAAAUUCUAAAACUGAUAAUCUUUCAAUCUCUCCCAGAAAUUUUUAAUCUUACCAACUGAUUCUCUCUUUGGAAGGUAAGCAUAAUGAUAAUUAGUGCCUAGCCUACUCUAUACCAGACACUAGUUGCUUUUUUUUUUUUAACCUAUAUUAAGAUCUGACCUUCUACAGCACUCUAAGAGGUUAGGCAGUAUUUUUAUUCCCAUUUUUAAAAAGUAAGAACAAGGAACAGAGAAUAUCAGGAAUUUACUUCAGGUUUCAUAGCUACUUAAGUGGAAGUCAAGGGUUGAAUUCAGGUAGUUCAGAUACAGUAGCUUAAAAUACUCCAAACACUUUGCAAUAAAAGG